RNAcentral lists this ribosomal RNA (630 nucleotides) under uncultured fungus. RNAcentral's name for it is "eukaryotic LSU rRNA". The stretch from base 265 to 418 matches the Rfam family "5.8S ribosomal RNA". Lineage: Eukaryota; Fungi. The record is from RNAcentral.
UCCGUAGGUGAACCUGCGGAAGGAUCAUUAAUGAAUAACUAUGGUGUAGGUUGUAGCUGGUUCCUCGGAACAUUGUGCACACCCGCCAUUUUUAUCUUUCCACCUGUGCACCGACUGUAGAUCUGGAUAACUCUCGCCCUAGAGGCGGAUGCGAGGUUUGGCUUCGGCCUCUCCUUGAAUUUCCAGGUCUAUGUCUUUUUACACACCCCACUAGUAUGAUAUUGAAUGUAGUCAAUGGGCUUUGUAGCCUAUAAAACACUAUACAACUUUCAGCAACGGAUCUCUUGGCUCUCGCAUCGAUGAAGAACGCAGCGAAAUGCGAUAAGUAAUGUGAAUUGCAGAAUUCAGUGAAUCAUCGAAUCUUUGAACGCACCUUGCGCUCUUUGGUAUUCCGAAGAGCAUGCCUGUUUGAGUGUCAUUAAAUUCUCAAUCUUGUCAGUUUUCUGAGGAGGCUUGGAUGUGGGGGUUUUGUGCAGGCUGCCUCAGCGCGGUCUGCUCCUCUGAAAUGCAUUAGCGAGUUCAUACUGAGGCUUCCGUCUAUUGGGGGUGGUGGAUAAUUAUCCUACGGCCCGGUGGGGAUCGGUGGCUUAGGACUUGCUUCUAACCGGUCCGGCAAGGGGACAACUCUUU